AGUGAACGCUGGCGGUAGGCCUAACACAUGCAAGUCGAACGGCAGCACAGUAAGAGCUUGCUCUUACGGGUGGCGAGUGGCGGACGGGUGAGGAAUACAUCGGAAUCUACUUUUUCGUGGGGGAUAACGUAGGGAAACUUACGCUAAUACCGCAUACGACCUACGGGUGAAAGCAGGGGAUCUUCGGACCUUGCGCGAUUGAAUGAGCCGAUGUCGGAUUAGCUAGUUGGCGGGGUAAAGGCCCACCAAGGCGACGAUCCGUAGCUGGUCUGAGAGGGUGAUCAGCCACACUGUAACUGAGACACGGUCCAGACUCCUACGGGAGGCAGCAGUGGGGAAUAUUGGACGAUGGGCGCAAGCCUGAUCCAGCCAUACCGCGUGGGUGAAGAAGGCCUUCUGGUUGUAAAGCCCUUUUGUUGGGAAAGAAAAGCAGCAGGUUAAUACCCCGCUGUUCUGACGGUACCCAAAGAAUAAGCACCGGCUAACUUCGUG
This 492-nucleotide ribosomal RNA is filed under the name uncultured bacterium. RNAcentral's name for it is "partial 16S ribosomal RNA". It matches the Rfam family "Bacterial small subunit ribosomal RNA", at positions 29 to 507 of the family's 1533-position model. The record is from RNAcentral.